AAACCGAGGCAGGACGUCCACGCCUCGCACCCGGAACGAUCCCCUCCCACACACCGGCCUCCCCGCAGGCCGCCGCUCCACUCUGGGCUGCACGUGGACGGAGGGUCUCGGAGACAGGCGACCCCCGCCGCCUCCGUCCGCCAGCAGGCCCCCGAGCCCCCGUUCCUCGCGCGAGUUCCCUGCAGCAGUGAUUCGGACCCCUGAAAUCGCGACCCGCGCGCUGCCCCUGGCUCCGGACGGUCCCGCCGCCCCCUAGUCACCUCCCUCUCGCCCUACAAAUGCGCCCACUCCCCGCCGCUUCUCCCAAAAGCCAUUUCCAGCUGCUCUUCCUUCCGAGGCCGGCUCGCCCACCCGCCCAGGUGGAUUCUUUACCAGCUGAGCCACAAGAGAAUCCCAAGAAUACUGGAGUAGGUAGCCUAUCCCUUCUCCAGCGGAUCUUCCCAACCCAGGAAUUGAGAACCGGGAUCUCCUUUACCAACUGAGCUAUGAGGGAAGCCCAUGGAGUUCGACAAAUUGGAGAGAUACCUGUAAUGGGCCAAUCAAUUGAAGCUGCGAACUCAUCUAAGUAGAGAAGGAAGAAGAAUCAAAGAUGAGCCUGAAGGAUUAGUGAUGCCAUUUGUAUAAAUGGAAAAAUAGAAGAGAUGCAGUGGAAAAAGCAGGAGGACUAGAAGAGGAGCCUGAAGAUGUGACUGAAUUGCUAUAAUCUCAUGAUAAAACUAAUGGAUGAAGAGUCUUUUAUUCCAGGUGAGCAAAGAAAGUAGUUUCUUGAGAUAGAAUUUACUCCUGGUGCUGUUGCCGAGAAGAAGGCUGAAGUGACAAGGAAGGAGUGACAGUAUUACGUAAUCUUAGUUGACAAAGCUAUGGCAAGGUUAGAGGGCAUUGCCUCUCAUUUUGAAAGAAGUUCUGCUAUAAGGAAAGUGCUAUCAAACGGCAUUGCAUGCUACGGAGAAACUGUGAAAGGAAGAGUCAAUCAAUGCAGUCGAUCAUUGUUGUCCUAUUUUAAGAAAUUGUCACAGCCGUUGCAGCCUUUAGCAGCCACCACCCUGAUUAGUUAGCAGUCAUCAACAUCAAGGCAAGACCUUCCACCAGCAAAGAGAUUAAAAUUAUGAUGGCUAGUAUUUCUUAGCAAUAAAGUAUUUAUAAAGUCCGUACAUGUUUCUUAUUUAUUUAUUUUGCAGUAGAAUUGG
This is a long non-coding RNA of Cervus elaphus (red deer), 1187 nucleotides long. RefSeq lists it as uncharacterized. NCBI's taxonomy places the organism in Eukaryota, Metazoa, Chordata, Mammalia, Artiodactyla, Cervidae. The record is from RefSeq and is a predicted model, not a curated record. The transcript is spliced from 3 exons.